ACGUUAGCGGCGGACGGGUGAGUAACACGUGGGUAACCUACCUAUAAGACUGGGAUAACUCCGGGAAACCGGGGCUAAUACCGGAUAACACAUGAAACCGCAUGGUUUCAUGAUGAAAGACGGUUUUGCUGUCACUUAUAGAUGGACCCGCGGCGUAUUAGCUAGUUGGUAAGGUAACGGCUUACCAAGGCAACGAUACGUAGCCGACCUGAGAGGGUGAUCGGCCACGCUGGAACUGAGACACGGUCCAG
This 251-nucleotide ribosomal RNA is filed under the name uncultured Staphylococcus sp. RNAcentral's name for it is "partial 16S ribosomal RNA". It matches the Rfam family "Bacterial small subunit ribosomal RNA", at positions 89 to 334 of the family's 1533-position model. Lineage: Bacteria; Bacillati; Bacillota; Bacilli; Caryophanales; Staphylococcaceae. The record is from RNAcentral.